UCUUUUUCUUUCUCACCUUCUCCGCAUCUCUUUCUCCUUCGCCCUCAUCUCUUUCUCCUUCAAAUGGCGAACCAGAAAAACCCCCUAAAUUUGCCAGAAAUAAAACAUAAACCUGCGAGAAUCCGAUCACCUAAUGUUAUAUCUGCAAACCCAAUUUUACCGAAAUCAAAUCCAUCUUUGAAUAACCUGAUUUCCCAAACCCUAGAGAUUAGAUUUUUAGACCGUAAGAAGAAUCAAGUGUUUACCCUAGAAAUUUGAGAUCAAUCUGUGAAUGAAUACUGAUUUUUCAGCUGGAUUUGUGUUUUAGAAGGGAAUGGAGUUCAGUUGGAUUUGUACCUUUAAAGUUGCAGAAGGGAAUGAAGUCGACAAUAAUAGAUAAGCUUCACGGUGUUGAAAUUGCUUCAAGUUUUCUAUUGCUGUUGAGAUGCCUGAAGUUGCAGCUAUUAAGAACAUGCAAGCUGAAAACAUUGGUAUGAAUAGGAUGUUGACAUUGGUGAGGAUAUUCCUACUGGUAAUUACCCUCCAAUGGAGAUUGAGAAAGAUACGGGUUCUGCUAAUGACAAAACUGGUGGUGGUUCUGGUAGUUCCAGCAGUUGUGAUUCAUCUUUUGAUAGAGAUUCUGGUAGUUCUUCAAGGAGUGGUUCCGAUGGUUAUGAAGCACAAUCUCAUUUCUUUGAAUCCGAAGCUGAUAAAUCAAAUGAGGGAUUCACUUAAUUUGUUCACUGAGAAGUAAUGGUGUUUUUAGAUAGUGGGAAGAUAAACCUAAAACAGAGUUGCAGGAAGAAGCACAUGUAAAAUUACAGCAGAGACCGCGAAGUUGACAUCGCUAGAUAGUGCCUACACAGACAUUAUUGUUUCAUUGCAGAAAGAGGUGAACUUUGGUUUGAAGAGCCAACACCAAUCCAAAGGCAGGUUAUAGUUCUCCUAUCUGUAUGCAACUCAAUAACCCUCCAAGUGUGAUAUUAGAGAGGCUAAGAGAUGCAUCCAGAGAGGAUAGAAGUUGAUUUCUUUACAUCUAUGUGAAUCUGGCAUUUUCUCAUUGUUGUGCUUAUGUACUAUGGUGGAUCCGGGAGAUUUUUAGAGAUUAUGUUGUGCUUGAGUAGGUUGUUGUUGUGCUUAUGUACUAUGGUUUUGUGCAAGGUCUGACUUUGGGAUUUAUAUGGGUCUGCUGCUUACAUUCAGCGAUUCAUCCGGCUAAGCUGCAUACAAAUGAUGAACGUUAUUCUUAGUUCCUGAAUUGUGUAAGCACACUUAGAGGUAUGGGAUGCAGUAGCAGCAGACGCAAAGUUGCUAGAGAAAAGGAACUCACACCUUGUUCUCUUUGGAAUAUGUUUAUAUAUUUACAGGUACCAUUUCGAAAUGUGCGACUCAGUGCAUGAAGGUGCACUUGUCUUUAAGAAACUUCAAACUUAUUAUCUAGGAGUAUUUGCUAGGAUUUGUAGCACUUAUAUUUAGGAAACCUUGAACUUUUAAUUAGAACUUGUAUUGGUGUGAAUUCUGGAAUUGAAUCCUUUUAUGUAUGAUUCUGAACUAAAUUUAUGAAUACAAUUAUUGGAAUGGAAUGGAAUGGUAAUUCUGUAUUGAUGAAUCA
Long non-coding RNA from Papaver somniferum (opium poppy), 1591 nucleotides. RefSeq lists it as uncharacterized. Lineage: Eukaryota; Viridiplantae; Streptophyta; Magnoliopsida; Ranunculales; Papaveraceae. The transcript is spliced from 7 exons. The record is from RefSeq and is a predicted model, not a curated record.